RNAcentral lists this ribosomal RNA (245 nucleotides) under uncultured bacterium. RNAcentral's name for it is "partial small subunit ribosomal RNA". It matches the Rfam family "Bacterial small subunit ribosomal RNA", at positions 26 to 285 of the family's 1533-position model. The record is from RNAcentral.
AGAAUCAACGCUGGCGGCGUGCCUAACACAUGCAAGUCGCACGAGAAAGGGUAGCAAUACCUGAGUAAAGUGGCGCACGGGUGAGUAACACGUGAAUUAUCUACCUCCGAGUGGGGAAUAACUGAGAGAAAUCUUAGCUAAUACCGCAUAACACUUACGAGUCAAAGCAGCAAUGCGCUUGGAGAGGAGUUCGCGGCCGAUUAGUUAGUUGGCGGGGUAAUAGCCCACCAAGACGAUGAUCGGUA